UACAGAGGUCCCAAGCGUUGUUCGGAUUCACUGGGCGUAAAGGGUGCGUAGGUGGCGGGGAAAGUCUGAUGUGAAAUCUCCAAGCUUAACUUGGAAAUGGCAUUGGAAACUGCCUUGCUUGAGGGUUGGAGGGGAGACUGGAAUUCUUGGUGUAGCAGUGAAAUGCGUAGAUAUCAAGAGGAACACCAGUGGCGAAAGCGAGUCUCUGGACAACUCCUGACACUGAGGCACGAAAGCUAGGGGAGCAAACAGG
This 253-nucleotide ribosomal RNA is filed under the name uncultured bacterium. Its description in RNAcentral is "partial 16S ribosomal RNA". It matches the Rfam family "Bacterial small subunit ribosomal RNA", at positions 524 to 776 of the family's 1533-position model. The record is from RNAcentral.